CCUACGGGUGGCAGCAGUGGGGAAUAUUGCGCAAUGGGGGCAACCCUGAUGCAGCAACGCCGCGUGAUUGAAGAAGGAUUUCGGGAUGUAAAGCUCUAUAAUCGGGGACGAAAUUAGACGGUACCUGAAGAAUAAGCUCCGGCUAACUACGUGCCAGCAGCCGCGGUAAUACGUAGGGGGCAAGCGUUAUCCGGAUUUACUGGGUGUAAAGGGCGCGUAGGCGGGAAGGCAAGGCAGAAGUGAAAUCCGAGGGCUUAACCCCCGAACUGCUUUUGAAACUGUGUGACUAGAGUGAUGGAGAGGCAAGCGGAAUUCCCAGUGUAGCGGUGAAAUGCGUAGAUAUUAGGAGGAACACCAGUGGCGAAGGCGUCCUACUGGACAGUAACUGACGCUGAGGCGCGAAAGCGUGGGGAGCAAACAGGAUUAGAUACCCUUGUAGUC
Molecule: ribosomal RNA, 441 nt
Filed under: uncultured bacterium
Lineage: Bacteria
Description: partial 16S ribosomal RNA
Rfam family: Bacterial small subunit ribosomal RNA
Source: RNAcentral